UUCAUCUGACCUGUCACAUGACACACCUGC
This 30-nucleotide non-coding RNA is filed under the name Bombyx mori (domestic silkworm). The record is from RNAcentral. Lineage: Eukaryota; Metazoa; Arthropoda; Insecta; Lepidoptera; Bombycidae.